RNAcentral lists this ribosomal RNA (301 nucleotides) under uncultured bacterium. RNAcentral describes it as "partial 16S ribosomal RNA". It matches the Rfam family "Bacterial small subunit ribosomal RNA", at positions 509 to 808 of the family's 1533-position model. The record is from RNAcentral.
CAGCCGCCGCGGUAAUACGUAGGUGGCAAGCGUUGUCCGGAAUUAUUGGGCGUAAAGGGCUCGCAGGCGGUUUCUUAAGUCUGAUGUGAAAGCCCCCGGCUCAACCGGGGAGGGUCAUUGGAAACUGGGAAACUUGAGUGCAGAAGAGGAGAGUGGAAUUCCACGUGUAGCGGUGAAAUGCGUAGAGAUGUGAGGAACACCAGUGGCGAAGGCGACUCUCUGGCCUGUGACUGACGCUGAGGAGCGAAAGCGUGGGGAGCGAACAGGAUUAGAUACCCCUGUAGUCCCUGUCUCUUAUACA